CUGCAGUCGAGCGGACAGAUGGGAGCUUGCUCCCUGAUGUUAGCGGCGGACGGGUGAGUAACACGUGGGUAACCUGCCUGUAAGACUGGGAUAACUCCGGGAAACCGGGGCUAAUACCGGAUGCUUGAUUGAACCGCAUGGUUCAAUUAUAAAAGGUGGCUUUUAGCUACCACUUACAGAUGGACCCGCGGCGCAUUAGCUAGUUGGUGAGGUAACGGCUCACCAAGGCAACGAUGCGUAGCCGACCUGAGAGGGUGAUCGGCCACACUGGGACUGAGACACGGCCCAGACUCCUACGGGAGGCAGCAGUAGGGA
This 315-nucleotide ribosomal RNA is filed under the name Bacillus sp. S2(2016). RNAcentral's name for it is "bacterial SSU rRNA". It matches the Rfam family "Bacterial small subunit ribosomal RNA", at positions 55 to 360 of the family's 1533-position model. The record is from RNAcentral. Lineage: Bacteria; Bacillati; Bacillota; Bacilli; Caryophanales; Bacillaceae.